RNAcentral lists this ribosomal RNA (339 nucleotides) under uncultured bacterium. RNAcentral's name for it is "bacterial SSU rRNA". It matches the Rfam family "Bacterial small subunit ribosomal RNA", at positions 22 to 356 of the family's 1533-position model. The record is from RNAcentral.
GCUCAGGAUGAACGCUGGCGGCGCGCCUAACACAUGCAAGUCGAACGAGCGAGAGAGAGCUUGCUUUCUCGAGCGAGUGGCGAACGGGUGAGUAACGCGUGAGGAACCUGCCUCAAAGAGGGGGACAACAGUUGGAAGCGACUGCUAAUACCGCAUAAGCCCACGGCUCGGCAUCGAGCAGGGGGAAAAGGAGUAAUCCGCUUUGAGAUGGCCUCGCGUCCGAUUAGCUAGUUGGUGAGGUAACGGCCCACCAAGGCGACGAUCGGUAGCCGGACUGAGAGGUUGAACGGCCACAUUGGGACUGAGACACGGCCCAGACUCCUACGGGAGGCAGCAGUA